GCCACCUCUGUUUCGUCCUCUUUGGCAUCCUGCGUAUGCCAACAGUUUACCCAAAACCUAAAAUUCUACUUUGAAUUCUCUUUUCGAAUUUGAAAAGAAAGAAAACUCAAAAUUGGAGCAAAAAACUCAACCGAAAAAAAUAUAUCCUUUUUCGAAUUACCAAAACUGAUUCGCAGACUGUAAAUUUUUCUGGAGAAAGAACCCCAAGGCGCAACCUGUGAAUGUGAAAGGAGGAGAUUCUUUCUUCACCAAAACAAAUUUUGAUCUUUCAAUGGCUGAUUGGUGGGGACCGAGACCAACCAUUGAUGCGCAUGCGCUCACUUGGCCAACUGAUUAGUAUGAAGCAACAGCACUACAGCCCUACACAGUUCCGUGAUGGAUCAAGACAGAAGGUAACAAAAAAGCUUCAGUUUUGCUUACCAGUCAAUAGCCGCCAUUGGGUUAUCAGUCUGGCACGCAUUUGGUUUUAACAUACGUACUGAGAACAACAGUUGCCUAUGUUUUCUAUGCAUACAUAGUCAAUAGUCGUGUCCUAAACUCUAUAUAUUUGGCCUUCUCAGUUAACAAUCAUAAGGAUCUCUUCUAAUUCUAUCCUUAACUUGGAUAACCAGUAGGAAGGGAUAUACAAGGCAAAAAUUAAAUGGGUCGUCUUUGUUUUUCGUUUAUGAUUGGUUCUAAUUUGCUCUGUCUGUUAUUCAAACAUUCCUUUGCAGUUGACAACAUUAGUCCCUCCCAGUCUAUACGCGAUGGAACGACCUUGGCUUCAAGAGGUGGAAGCUUUGAGCUUGGCUUCUUCAGUCCAGGUAGUUCCAAGAAUCGUUACUUGGGCAUUUGGUACAAGAACAUCCCAGUUAGAACUGUUGUUUGGGUUGCAAACAGAUGCAACCCCAUUAAUGAUUCUUCCGGCAGGUUGAUGAUGAACAGCACAGGACAUCUUGUGCUGUUAGGUCAGAAUAAGAGUGUUGUUUGGUGGAUAAGCUCAGCUAAACAUGCCCCAAGUGCAACGGUAGAGCUUUUAGAUUCUGGGAAUUUAGUACUAAGGGAUGCAGGAACCUAUUUGUGGCAAAGCUUUGACUAUCCUUCUGAUACGUUGUUACCAGGAAUGAAGAUGGGAUGGGACUUGAGGACAGGUAUAAAACGGAGUUUAUCAGCAUGGAAAAAUUCAGAAGACCCGUGUCCAGGAGAUUUCACUUAUGGGAUUGAAAUGGAACUUAAUAAAUAUCCUGAGGCAUAUGUUCGGAAAGGCACUGCAAAAUACUAUCGUACUGGCCCAUGGAAUGGACUGAGAUUCAGUGGUUCACCAGAAUUAAGGCCUAAUCCACUUUAUAGGUUCAACUUUGUCUAUAAUGACAAUGAAGUGUACUACAUGUACAACCUUCAAAGUAAGUCUGUAAUCUCAAGAAUAGUUUUGAACCAAACCGCAAGUACUCGUGAUCGCUUUACAUGGAUUGAAGCAUAUCAAACUUGGAGGGCCUAUUCAUCAGUACCAAGAGACUUGUAUGAUCAUUAUGGCCUCUGCGGAGCCAAUGGAAAGUGUAUCAUUGGUGAGAAUCCUGUCUGCCAAUGUCUAAAAGGAUUCAAGCCCAAGUCUCAAGAAAAAUGGAAUUUGACAGACUGGUCUCUAGGAUGUGUGCGCAAUAAACCGUUAAGCUGCCAGGAAAGAUAUAAAGAUGGGUUUGUCAAAUUUGUUGGCUUGAAACUGCCAGAUACUACACAUUCUUGGGUGAGCAAAAGUAUGAAUCUUAAGGAAUGCAGAACUAAAUGCUUGAAAAACUGUUCCUGUAUGGCUUAUACAAGCUCAGAUAUCAGAGGAGGAGGUACUGGCUGCGCCACCUGGUUUGGUGAUCUAAUAGAUAUCAGGCAGUUUGUGGCUAGUGGACAGGAUCUGUAUAUUCGUAUGCCGGCCUCAGAGUUAGAAAAUGGAGGUAAAGUGAAGACAGCAAUGACAAUAGAAGUUUCUGUAGCAGUAAUGUUUUCUGGAGUGGUAUUCGUUGGAUAUUACCUUCACCGAAACAGGAGAAAAUUAAAAGAUAUAAGCGAAACAAAUCAGAACAAUGAAGGGGAACUAAAGGAGGACCUGGAGCUCCCGCUCUUCAACCUGACCACAGUAAUAGGUGCCACAAAUAACUUUUCAAAUGAUAACAAGCUCGGAGAAGGUGGAUUUGGACCCGUUUACAGGGGAACACUACCAGAUGGACAAGAAAUUGCUGUGAAGAGGCUUUCAAGAAGUUCUGGCCAAGGAUUGAAUGAGUUCAAGAAUGAAAUUAUACUGUUUGCCAAGCUCCAGCAUUGAAAUCUUGUAAAGCUUCUUGGAUGCUGCAUUCAAGGAGAGGAGAAAAUGCUAAUUUAUGAAUACAUGCCCAACACAAGCCUAGACUCCUUUAUUUUUGAUCAAAUGAGAGAAGAAUUACUGUUAGAUUGGCCUAAAUGUUUCCACAUUAUUUGCGGAAUUGCUCGGGGUCUCCUCUAUCUCCAUCAAGAUUCCAGGCUAAGGAUUAUUCAUAGAGAUCUCAAAGCAAGUAAUGUUUUACUUGACAACGAAAUGAAUCCAAAAAUUUCAGACUUUGGCUUGGCUAGAAAAUUAGUUGGAGGAGAUCAGACGGGCGGAAAUACAAACAGAGUGUUUGGAACAUACGGUUACAUGGCACCUGAAUAUGCUAUCUAUGGACUGUUUUCUGUCAAAUCUGAUGUCUUUAGCUUUGGUAUUUUGGUGUUGGAGGUCAUAAGUGGAAGGAAAAAUAAGGGAUUCUACCAUCCAAACCAGAGUCAUAACCUUAUUGGACAUGCAUGGAUAUUAUGGAAACAAGGGAGGCCUUUAGAACUGAUUGAUACGCGUUUAGGAAGCCCAUAUACUCUAUCAGAAGUGUUACGUUGCAUCCAUGUUAGUCUUUUAUGCUUGCAACAUCAUCCUGAGGAUAGACCAACCAUGGCAUCUGUGCUUAUAAUGUUGGGAAGUGAGAUUCCCUUGGCUCAGCCCAAGCAACCUGGUUUCUUUAUAGAAACGGAAUCACUUGAAGCAGGUGUUUCUCCAGGAAAUCAAUCGUCAACAAACAAAAUAUCGAUUACACUUAUGGAGGCUCGUUAAGGAUCGAUUAAUUCGUGGUAUAUAGGUUCAUGCUGCUUGGCUCAAUUGUUGUGCAUACUUCCAAAACAAGUCACUUUCAUAGAUCGUUGUCAGUUUUUGAACACUUAAAUUAAAGCAUGAAUAUGUGAAUUCUUUGUUUUAUGGAAUUUGGUUAAUAUCUCUAAUUCCAUAAAUCUCAUAAACAGGCUUGGGUUAUUCCGUACUGUUAUUCUUUCGUACAGGGCCAAUAAAAAGGCUUUAGGCAUCCAAUUUUGUAGGUUCAGGCUUUACCAACGUGAAGCAUGUUUUAUGGAACUUAGACAAUGUUUUU
RNA transcript from Prunus dulcis (almond), 3395 nucleotides. It is a transcript of the gene named G-type lectin S-receptor-like serine/threonine-protein kinase At4g27290, with no coding region annotated. The record is from RefSeq and is a predicted model, not a curated record. The transcript is spliced from 7 exons. NCBI's taxonomy places the organism in Eukaryota, Viridiplantae, Streptophyta, Magnoliopsida, Rosales, Rosaceae.